GAUGAAGAACGUAGCGAAAUGCGAUAAGUAAUGUGAAUUGCAGAAUUCAGUGAAUCAUCGAAUCUUUGAACGCACAUUGCGCCCGCCAGCAUUCUGGCGGGCAUGCCUGUUCGAGCGUCAUUUCAACCCUCAAGCUCUGCUUGGUGUUGGGGCCCUACGGUUGACGUAGGCCCUUAAAGGUAGUGGCGGACCCUCUCGGAGCCUCCUUUGCGUAGUAACUACGUCUCGCAUUGGGAUUCGGAGGGACUCUUGCCGUAAAACCCCCAAAUUUUCUAAUGGUUGACCUCGGAUCAGGUAGGAAUACCCGCUGAACUUAAGCAUAUCAAUAAGCGGAGGA
Molecule: unclassified non-coding RNA, 337 nt
Filed under: soil metagenome
Description: partial contains 5.8S ribosomal RNA, internal transcribed spacer 2, and large subunit ribosomal RNA
Rfam family: 5.8S ribosomal RNA (bases 1-120)
Source: RNAcentral